This is a long non-coding RNA of Corapipo altera (White-ruffed manakin), 1498 nucleotides long. RefSeq lists it as uncharacterized. The record is from RefSeq and is a predicted model, not a curated record. The transcript has 4 exons. NCBI's taxonomy places the organism in Eukaryota, Metazoa, Chordata, Aves, Passeriformes, Pipridae.
CGCCGGGCAGGGCAGUGCUCGGCUGGCGGGUGCCCCGCAGAGAGAAGAGCCCGGCCCUGGGAAGGCAGGAGCCUGGGCUCGAGCUGCUCCGGACCGCUGUGGGGAUGGGUUUGAAGUUUUGGGAUCGCUUGUUUCUGUCCCUACCUUCCCACUGAAAACAAUAACUUGAGAAGUCCUCGUCUGGACUGGUCCAGAGAAAUGGUGGAGUCUCCAUCUCCGGAGAUGCUUAAAACACUUUUGCUCAGGCAAAGUCAUGAGCAACCUAUUCUACCUAAUCCCGCUUUUUGAGCAGCAGAGAUUGGACUAGAUGAUCUCCAGAGGUCGUAUUUAUCUGCCUGUCAGGACUGUUGGAGCGCUGGAUGGAGAGCAGGUCAUAUGAAGAGGAUUAUGGAGUAAAAGGCAGCUUGUACUUAGGUGCAGGGAAAGUAUAAAUAUUUAUAUAUAUUGGCACAGUGCCUAGCCUUAAUGCUUAAAAUCCUUUGGAGAGCUGUCUGCAUAUUUACUGUAUUAAUGAUCAAAUGCAAGGCUGUGUUGGGAAAGAUCUUCCAUUUGGAAGUCAGUAGUUGAGACUGUCUUGCCUAUGAAAAAGAGGGAGAAUUUUCAUUGGAGGGUGUAGGAUUCUGGCUGGUAAUAGUCUUAAUUCAAGGUAUUUUUAGAGAAUUGAUUUAACACAAGCAGAACAAAUGGCCAGAAGUGCAAUGAGAGACAAGUUGAAAUUAGAAAGUAGAUGUGCAUUUUGAAUGUAUUGUCAUAGCAACUGAUUAAAUUCUCCCUCUCUUGCUGUUCUGGGGACCUUUUAAAUGUGCUUUGGCUAAAUAAAAAGUAUUAGACUAUUUCAGAGCCAAAAGGUCAGUUCUUGUUGUCUCUUUUGCACUUUAAUUCUAGUACACUGAUACUUGCUAACCACUUAUAACCCUAGAUGCAGAAUGAGAACUUGGGUUAUUAACAAUAAACAAGUCAACAGCAGAAAGACUUGACCUUUCUUUUGAAUUGCCCUACAGUGUUAAAAAAUACCAAACAAACCUCCUUCCCCAAAGAAACACCCCCCAAAAUACCCCAACAACUCACCAAACAGAAAAUCACUGACAACCAAAAAGCAGAAGUAACAAACGUGAACAGCAAGUGGAGGAAGAGUUUGAAAGCGGGAUGGACAGAAGCACAAGUGUUACUGCCCACUCUUAGGCCACUGUGCUGAUUCAAUGGGUGUUGUUAGGUUUAGAUUAGUAGUUUGUUGUUGUUGGGUUUUUCGGUGGUGUUGAUUUUUUUGUUGUCGUUGUGGGGGAUUGUUCAUUUGUUUGUUUUUAUUUGGGUUUUUUUCUGUAUUAAAAAUCUGGCUCAGUUACUCUCUAGUUUUGGUGUGUUUUCUUUUCCAGGUGGUUGGUGUUCCUGCAGUGUUUGGCACAGGACCGGACUGAAUGCACUCCCUUUAUUCACCUUUUCAGAGAGUAUCGUCCAGAAUACGAGCGCCUGAGAAAAACACCGGACCUGAUGCUUCUGC